This is a non-coding RNA of Paramuricea clavata, 1809 nucleotides long. NCBI's taxonomy places the organism in Eukaryota, Metazoa, Cnidaria, Anthozoa, Malacalcyonacea, Plexauridae. The record is from the annotation of a GenBank genome assembly.
UUGCAAUUCCAGCAUGUCAGGGCCGCCUCCCCGCAAGUUGGGCCCCCUUUUUUACUUUUUUGGGGGUGUUAACCCCCCCCCCCCAUACUGCCCCCCCCCGCCCCAGGUGGCACGGCCCUGCUUCCGAACCGAAACAAAAUUCAUAUCUGUUUUGUUCUAGCUGUUACAGACAAUAAUUUAGCAAAUAUUUUUAAUAAACGAAGCUGUGGUUCCGCUUAGAACACAAAAAAACCACAAAGUUUUGUUUAACACUGUGUCGAGGUAUGAUUUAUAAUUAGAACUAUUCCUAAUAAAUAAAACACUAACACCUUGUAUAAAUACUCGGUUGUUUACAAGUAUUACAGAGCUGUAAUAUCAGAGCACAUUGCCAGCAUGUUUGCCACUGAUUCAAGGGUAGGGAUGGGCGAUACCAGCUUUUUCAUUCGAUGGGUCGUUCCAGAAAAGAUCCAUACUCCCCCCACAGAGGAAAUUUCUGCUGUCCAGAGGGGAGAAAAAAUUGUUUCUGAUAAUAGUAAAUGUAUUAGGACAUCCGAAGGGGGUAGGGGGGUUAACUUCCUAUUUCCUCCGUGGGGGUGGUAUGGAUGUUUUCUGGAAUGACCCAAUACAAUAUUUGCCAUUUUUUUCGAUAUUGAUACCGAUAUCAAUAUUUUCCCAACUCAAACAACCAUAACAACAAAAAGGCUAUUUUUAAUCAUUAACAAUGGCAACAAUGCUAACAAUACCAAACAUUGAUUUUAUAAUAUAUGUCAGUGAUUGCAACCAACAUAUAUAUAACCAGAAAUUCUGAUCCUGCCCGAGGACCAUUAUAGUACCAUAGAAAAUAAACUACUUUUAUAUUAUUUAAGCCUAUUUAGGAUUUUUGGUAUCAUGUUCAUCAUGAAGCCUCUGGCCAAAAUGAAAAAUAUCGCAGGCUCAGAAGUAUCGAAACAAUCGAUAUUUCUUGCCAGUAUCGAUACUUUUCUUCAGAACCCUAGUAUAGUAUCGAGUACUUGGUAUCAGCCCAUCCUUAACCAAAAGUCUCUGUCCAGUAGAAAAUUAAUUUAUUAAAAACUUGUUCCAGUGUCUCUUGCGUCAACCAGUAUUUUACAACUAAGCAGGACUGUGAAUAACCAAUUAUAAGCCCACCUAGAACAUCUGAGACGUGAUGUCGACCCAGCACUACUCUCGAUAUGGCAACCAUUGCAGCCCAGAUGAAACCUAACUUGGUGUAAAACUGAUUUGUCCAGUAACGCGUAAACAAUAUUGCAACCAUAGCAACACGUGUGCUAUGCCCUGACGGGAAUGAAUACCUAUCGACAGAAACGGUUGCAAACAUGUCGUCAAUGUUAUAUGCAGGUCGUGGCCGUCGUACAAUUAUUUUCAGGAACCCAACAAUUGCAAGAUCAAUGAUAAGGGCCAUGAGUAGAUUACAGAAGAAUAGCCUCGUUCCGAUGUCAGGGUUUUGGUAAAUCACAUAAAAUGUUGCAGUUAGCCAUGGAAUUCCGUGCCCAGAGUACUCGAGCAGUUUUAGAAAUAGUCUUAGAACAUGGAUUCCAAAAUUAUCUUCGUCUUUGGCCGGUAUAGACAGUACUUGAGAUAUAUAUCGAUCAAGCUUGAGCAAACUAAAUUCCUCUUGUGACAUUUUGCAACAAAUUCCUGUAGAAACUUCAGUUUAAAGAUGAAUUUUGGCAACAAGUGACUUGUAAUUUCUCAAUUAAAUUAGAAGAGCGUAUCAAUAAUAACUUUAUUCAAAAAUAAAGCGUAAAAGCAUCGCAGAAAAUAAAUUAUUUAAAAGGAACUGUCAUUUUCAUUUGAAUGAAUAUAUCUUGG